UUUGGCCAUUUUCCCCGGGAAAGAAAACAUGACAAUUCAAGUUCCUGUUGUCCGUUUCUAUGGCUCCCUUGGGUCUCUCAGGGCAGCAAAAUUUUGAGGUGGGGGCAACUUCGGUCUGGGGUCCAUCCUUCGAUAUAACUAUUUUUUUUGCAGUCAGGUUCCAGCCCAGGGCCGGGGCCCCUGGGCACAUCCUUUGUCCUUUUACCCUGGGAAAGAAAAUUCACCAGUCCAAGUUCCUGAUGUCAUUUUGUGUAGCUCCAGUGGGUCUAUCAGUGCAGCACAGGUUUGAGGUGGGGACAAUAUUGGUUUCGGGUACAUCCUUUGAAGUAUUGACUUUUUGCAGUCAGUUUCCAGCCCAGGGCCGGGGCCCCUGGACACGUCCUUUGGCCAUUUUCCCUGGGAAAGAAAACUCACCAGUCCAGGUUGCUGAUGUCAGUUUGUAGGGUUCCCUUGGGUCUAUCAUGGCAGCACAAGUUUGAGGUGGGGACAACAUUUCGUCUCAGGUCCAUCCUUCGAUGUAUUGACUUUUUGCAGUCAGGGCCCAGCCCAGGGCCCGGCCCCUAGGCACACACAUUGGCCUUUUUCCCUGGAAAAGAAAACUCGCCAGUCCAGGUUCCUGAUAUCAGUUCUUACGACUCCCUUGGGACUGUCUGGGCAGCACAAGUAUGAGGUGGGGAGAAUUUUGCCCGGGGUCCAUCCUUCGAUAUAAGGAUUUUUUGCAAUCAGGUGCCAGCCCAGGGCCAGGGACCCCUGGGCACAUACUUUGGCCAUUUUCCCUGGAAAAGAAAACUCGACAGUCCAGGUUCCUGAUGUCAGUUCAUACGACUCCCUUGGGUCUAUCUGGGCUGCACAAGUUUGAGGUGGGGACAACUUUGGUAUGGGGUCCAUCCUGUGAAUAUAAGGUUUUUUUGCAAUCAGGUGCCAGCCCAGUGCCAGGGGCCCCUGGGCACAUUUUUUGGCCAUUUUCCCUGGGAAAGAAAACUCACCAGUCCAGGUUGCUGAUGUCAGUUUGUAGGGCUCCCUUGGGUCUAUCAGGGCAGCACAAGUUUGAGGU
RNAcentral lists this long non-coding RNA (1054 nucleotides) under Lonchura striata (white-rumped munia). RNAcentral's name for it is "domestica (Bengalese finch) lncRNA (ENSLSDG00000003964.1)". Lineage: Eukaryota; Metazoa; Chordata; Aves; Passeriformes; Estrildidae. The record is from RNAcentral.